RNAcentral lists this ribosomal RNA (170 nucleotides) under Leptocottus armatus (Pacific staghorn sculpin). Its description in RNAcentral is "partial small subunit ribosomal RNA". The record is from RNAcentral. Lineage: Eukaryota; Metazoa; Chordata; Actinopteri; Perciformes; Cottidae.
CACCGCGGUUAUACGAGAGGCCCAAGUUGACAAACACCGGCGUAAAGCGUGGUUAAGUUAAUAAAUCACACUAAAGCCAAACAUCUUCAAGACUGUUAUACGUAACCGAAGACAGGAAGUUCAACCACGAAAGUGGCUUUAUCUAAUCUGAACCCACGAAAGCUAAGGAA